AGAGUAUACAUUGACCUCCAGCAUGUGA
RNAcentral lists this small RNA (28 nucleotides) under Bombyx mori (domestic silkworm). RNAcentral's name for it is "ovarian small RNA-11939". The record is from RNAcentral. Lineage: Eukaryota; Metazoa; Arthropoda; Insecta; Lepidoptera; Bombycidae.